This 467-nucleotide ribosomal RNA is filed under the name uncultured bacterium. Its description in RNAcentral is "partial 16S ribosomal RNA". It matches the Rfam family "Bacterial small subunit ribosomal RNA", at positions 28 to 507 of the family's 1533-position model. The record is from RNAcentral.
GACGAACGCUGGCGGCGUGCUUAACACAUGCAAGUCGAACGGAAAGGCCCUGCUUUUGUGGGGUGCUCGAGUGGCGAACGGGUGAGUAACACGUGAGUAACCUGCCCUUGACUUUGGGAUAACUUCAGGAAACUGGGGCUAUACCGGAUAGGAGCUCCUGCUGCAUGGUGGGGGUUGGAAAGUUUCGGCGGUUGGGGAUGGACUCGCGGCUUAUCAGCUUGUUGGUGGGGUAGUGGCUUACCAAGGCUUUGACAGGUAGCCGGCCUGAGAGGGUGACCGGCCACAUUGGGACUGAGAUACGGCCCAGACUCCUACGGGAGGCAGCAGUGGGGAAUAUUGCACAAUGGGCGGAAGCCUGAUGCAGCAACGCCGCGUGCGGGAUGACGGCCUUCGGGUUGUAAACCGCUUUCGCCUGUGACGAAGCGUGAGUGACGGUAAUGGGUAAAGAAGCACCGGCUAACUACGUG